GAUAAAGUCUGGAAAUGUCCUCAAAGUUGCUAUGAAACAUGAUUUUUAAAGUUAUUGUAAAUAAAGGCUGUGUAAUGACUCGACUGGAUUUAAGAUUGGUGUUCAGAAUAUCCCUAUAGCACAAACAUAGCUAGGAGCUAGGUGUUCUGCCCAAGAGUUCAACGUGACCUGAAAAGAUCAACACGAGUGGACAUCGUCUGGGACCAGUAUCGUGCUUUGACAAUCAAAGGAGGAACAAGAGAAAAGCGAGGAUCAGGCACCCGACAACGCAUCUCUGGCACUGCCAAAGUCCCAAGAGAUUGGCAGGCAUUUCUGGCAAAUGAGGAUAAUAAGACAGAACUGUUUUCAUUCCUGUCAACUGCGCUUGUAACAAAUGGACAGUUCCCAGAUGACAAAGAUGUCUACAUAACAGCAGAUGAUUGCGUCCACCAUGUUGGAAACAGUCCUCCAAUGGAUCGCUGCAACCACGAGGAAGCUGACACUCGUGUCCUAGUGCAUCUUCUCCAUGCCCUCCAAACAGCAUCAGUUGGGAUGGUCUAUACUGGAGACACAGAUGUUGUCGUAAUCCUGCUGAGUAAUUUCCAUCAUAUCAAGGCUUUGAAUGCAACUGCAGAAAUCUGGAUCUGCUUCAAAACUGGAAAGACAUCAAGAAUGAUCUCCCUGAACACUCUCGCCACAAAACUGGGCACAGAAACAUGUAAAGCCAUGGCUCUCUUCCACGCAUUCACGGGAUCAGACAGCACAUCUUCUUUCAAGUUCAGGGGUAAGCGAUCCUGCUGCAAAUUGAUGCACGAAGUUCCACACUUGACAGAGGAGUUCGCAACCAUCAUUGAGACUCCAUUCCAAACCUCUCCAAGGCUGAAAGAAGUUGCAGUAAACUUUGUCUGUAGGCUGUACUCCAGUGAAUCAAAUGAGGAAAAUGAUGUUGAUCUUCUUCGAAUGAGGCUAUUCUCACAGAAGACGAGGGAUGUUGAAAGAAUCCCCCCAACAAUGGAUGCUUUGGAUCUACAUCUCAAAAGGAGUGUCUUCCAAGCAAGCAUCUGGACAACAGCCCACAUGUCUAUAAUGCCUGACAACAACCCCACUGACCAUGGGUGGAAAGAAGAGGACAGCAAACUUCUUCCCAUUUGGACUACGAUACCACUUGCCAAAGACGUAUUACAACUAGAUGUGAAGUGUGGUUGUACAAGUACUUGUACAAGUCGACCUGCCAGUUCUCGGUGCAAGUGCAUGAAGGCGAAGUUAAAGUGCACACGUCUGUGCAAGUGCACAUGUCAGAACUUCUAAGACUGACAUAGAAUAAAUCAAAGAAGUAAAUUAUAGUUAUCAUUGUAGAGUGAAGUUCUCAGAAUAAAUGUUAGCCCUAUGGUCCUCUGUUCAUUUUUUGAAUGCCAGAAAAACUAUUGUUUAUCUUCUUAUUGUUAUUGACUUACUUUCUUCCAGAUAUAAAGUUCUUUUGUGAAAAUUUCUUGUGAAUAAAAUGAUGGCUUGUUGGCUUGUUGGCUU
Long non-coding RNA from Pseudoliparis swirei, 1506 nucleotides. RefSeq lists it as uncharacterized. Lineage: Eukaryota; Metazoa; Chordata; Actinopteri; Perciformes; Liparidae. The transcript is spliced from 2 exons. The record is from RefSeq and is a predicted model, not a curated record.